CCCUCCUUCACACUGCUGGCCAGGUGGACAACAUCCCGCGGGAGGCUGUGUCGGAGUGAUGGUCCUGGAGUCUCUGAGAAAUCAACACUUGGUGUGUUUGGAACGGUGGCCGGGAUUUCCCAAGCCAGGCUUUCACCUCCUGUGGCCAUGUCUAUAAAUUGCUGGGUGGUCCUAAAAGUAGCCCAGGAAUGUUGCCCACAGGCCACUGCAGCCCUGCCCAGUCCCAUGACAAGUCCACAUGGGCCGUGUUCCCUUUCCUUCCCUGCCCCAGCUGCACUCGAGGCCUCAGGCUGGCCAGUGGCCAGCUCUGUGGAUAGUGUCCAUGGAUGUCUCCCAAAGCCCCGUCCCUCCCCUGUAGCCUCUGGAUGCUGUGGGCACCCAUCCGAGAACUCCAAAACCUCAGGGCACUUCUCUGCCUGAGCAGGCGCCAGCCCUGGUGAAUGAGCUGUUGAGGGUGCUGACACCCAGACCCUGCAGAAGCCCCGGAGAAGAGGAACUGAACGCCCACCUUCCAAGCCCGAGGCUGCGGGUCAGAGUGCGCCUGCCCAGCCUGCCCAGCAGCCCCGUCAGAGGCACUAAAGGCUCACGAGAGGCCUGCUCGGCGCCUUCAGAAAGGGCUCCGUCUGUCUGUGUGUAUGCAGGUCCAUCUAUCUGGCUCUUACCCACAGCACUGACCUGUGCUGGGCACUGUCCUGAGAGCCACCGUAUUCUCCCCCUGUGGAGAAGGCACUGUCUUUGAGCCCACUGACCACUCCUGAGCAAAACUUUCAGGGAUCACUUCAGCCCCGACUGGGCCAGGCUUGUGGGGUCAGCUCAUGGCUCGGUGGGAGUCUUUGCUGAGUGAGGACAGUGAUCAGGUCUUCCGUCGUGGUGUCCAUUGUGAAGGACCAUAAACACUCGGGACUUAACUAACAAUGAAGGUGUGGCCCACUACGCGCCAGGCUUGCUUCCUUAAAUUGAGCUAAAACUCGCCAUUUUCACCUGUGGGGUCCUAUGGUGGUGAGCAGCCACGCUGUGGUGCAGCUCUGCCUGUCUACCCAGGACUCUCAUCACCCCGGGAGGAAACCCUGCACCCCUUUCUGCCUGGCUUUGCGUCUGUCCUGGGCACGUCUUGUCUCUGGGUGGCAGUCCCUCUGCUCUUUUGUGGCUGGCUUCUUGCACUUGAAACACACUGAAUUUGGGGACCCCUCUAAAGUUGAGAGUGACUUCCUCAGGCUGAGAGUGGAAGCUGGGGUGCCCACGGCCUGACCGAGACGGGCUAAGAGAGGAGAAGACCAUUGGCCAGGUCCAUGCUCCACCUGCGUGUGCCCCGGGACCUGGGAGGGGGCAGGCUGGCUGCCUCUCCGCAGCUGGACCAAACUGCGUGAAGGUCACUUACUUCCCACCAGUGUCUAUUUCUCACGUGGGCAGAGGCUGCAUCCAGCCAGCUGGGUCCAGGCAAGUCCUGGGCCAGGCUGCCACCCACACACUGAGCAGUGUUUCUGGGCUCAUCCUGUGGAGCUGGCUGUUCACAGAGUCCCUUCAGUACAGUGGCCCCGGGGUGAAUGACCACUGCCCUCAGGUGGGGCUUUGGGCACCUUGGGCUGGGGAGGGGCCCUGCUCUGCCCCAUUCCUUGGCCUUUUCCCCAGGGUCCUGGCCCGACACUUCUGAGUGCCAGAUGUCCCAGCACAUGGCCAUGCCUGCUGACCCUCAUCUGCCCGUGCCUGGGGUCGUGGUCACACUCAAGACAGUGGGGUUUGCUGCCUUUCUGUGGCACUUCCUUGAGUUUCAUUCCAGUUCCGCCCUCUGCCAUCCCCCGCCAUCCCCCGCCAUCUCCGGCCAUCUCCGGCCAUCUCCCGCUUCCUGGGGCCCUCAGAGUUCCCACUCCCAGUGGGAGCCCUCUUGCUCCUGCCCGACUGGCCCCAGAGGCUCACCCACAGGGCUGGGCAGGAAAGGACUGCCUCAGUAGUGGGUCCCAGCUGAUGCCCCUGGGGCUGGUCCCUGGAGGCAGCAGGACCGCCUGGGCCCCAGGGGAGUUGAUGCCAGGGCCAGCCUGGCUCAGUUGUGGCUGGCCCCUGAGCCCAGCCUUCUCUACUGGCCAGGGAGAGCAGGACAGGGAGACCCAGCGGCACGUGCAGCGAUGACCUGGACCACUCCCUCCUGGCCCCACAUAGCUCUGCAGCUGAACCGGCCGUGGGCGUUGAAAUGAGAGUUAAAGCAGGCACUAGACGUUGGAUAAUUUCUUUCAGAUUUUUUUCUGGAUUUCUCUUAAUUAAUAGUAAGGCAAACUGUGUAGAAGUGUCCACCAUCAUACUUGCUACUGUCUGAAAGAACUUUGAAGCACAGCAAGCGAUUCCUUGGAGAGUGCGUUCUUGGGGUAGGGUUUCUGAUGCUGCUUCUGUUCAAGUAGCCCCUGUGUCGCUCGCUGGCCACGGGGCAGCUGGGGAAAGAAGCAAAACCACAGGCCACGCUAGCUCUGGGUCUGACGGCCUCAGCUGAGGGACAUUGUGCUGCUGCUAGUGUGACCUGAGUCAGCUCAGGAUGCCUCGCCCCGAAUGGACCCGUGGACGCCUGCCAGCCAGAAGGCUUGUGUCCAGUGGAAAUCGCCCUCGAUGCCCUUCUGCUGCAGAGAUGUGGCCCUGCCUAGCUGCUUAAGACAGCCAGCAGGGUCACCUCACACCUAAGCUGGGUGCUUUGACACAGGGCACCUGUGGGGUUGCAGGUGAUGCUGGCCGGGAAUGGUCUCUGAGGCUCGGUGGGGCUGGAGGUCACUCCCAGAAGGCUCCCUCUGGCAGUGGUGGUCGUCCAGCAUCACGUGGCCUCUCCGGCAGGAGAGCUCUUUCACGCAGCAGCUGGCGCCGAAAGAAGGCGGGCAGAAGUCCUCACGGGUGUCCUUUCCCUCCGAAGCCCCUCACUGACCCUCGAGAAGGAAAUGCUGGCCUCCUCCCUGGGACACCGAGGCCGAGGAAGGGGUAAGAGAACCGGUCUCCUCCCUUGGCCCAGAGCACAGGAUGCAGAGGUGUGUCAGUGUGCUGUGUGCACACCCAGAGUCGUCCUAAGAGACAUGUGUUGGUGGACUGAUGGGCAGGUGGGCUGUAGAGGAG
RNAcentral lists this long non-coding RNA (3084 nucleotides) under Marmota monax (woodchuck). The record is from RNAcentral. Lineage: Eukaryota; Metazoa; Chordata; Mammalia; Rodentia; Sciuridae.